This 65-nucleotide transfer RNA is filed under the name Egea inermis. Its description in RNAcentral is "tRNA-Asn". The record is from RNAcentral. Lineage: Eukaryota; Metazoa; Mollusca; Cephalopoda; Oegopsida; Cranchiidae.
CAGUGAAAAGCCAAAAAGAGGCAUUUAACUGUUAAUUAAAAUAUUGUAAUUUUUUACUUCACUGG